Molecule: ribosomal RNA, 497 nt
Filed under: uncultured bacterium
Lineage: Bacteria
Description: partial 16S ribosomal RNA
Rfam family: Bacterial small subunit ribosomal RNA
Source: RNAcentral
GAUGAACGCUGGCGGCGUGCCUAAUACAUGCAAGUCGAGCGAUCGGACGAGAAGCUCGGUUCUCUUGUGUUAGCGACGGAUGGGUGAGUAACACGUGGAUAACCUACCUAUAAGACUUGGCUAACGUCAGGAAACCGGAGCUAAUAACGGAUAAUAUUUUUAACCGCAUGGUUCAAAAGUGGAAGACGGUCUUGCUGUCACUUGUAGAUGGAUCCGCGCUGCAUUAGCUAGUUGGUAAGGUAACGGCUGACCAACGCAUCGAUGCAUAGCCGACCUGAGCGGGUGGACGGCCACCCGGGAACUGAGACACGGUCCACAGUCCUACGGGAGGCAGCAGUAGGGAGUCUUCCGCAAUGCACGAAGGCCUGACGGAGGAACGCCGCGUGAGGGAUGAGGGUCUUCGGAUCGUAGAUCUCUGUUAUCAGGGAAGAACAUAUGUGUAAGUAACUGUGCACGUCGUGACGGCACCUAAUCAGAAAGCCACGGCUAACUACGUG